AUGUUUGAUUUUUGCUGGAACCUGCUUGCAUUUUUGCUGCAGCAGGGAGAUGAUAGUGCUCGGCGGCAAUGGCAUGGCCGCCAUGAUUUGUUUUUGCUGGAACCAGCAAUCUUUUUUUGCUGGAACCAACCUUUGCUUUUGCUACAUCGGAGAAGACUAUGUGAUGUGAAUCAGCUGCAUCCAGUGAUUUUUUUUGCUACAUCUGUCAUCAAUUUUUGUUGGAACCAGCACGAGCGUCGGCCACAACCGUCGCACGACGGAGCUACAACCAAGGGGGAAAUUCUACAACCGGUGCUUCAAUUUGCUACUGUCGGCAUCUUUUUUUGCUGGAACCAGUUGAAAGUAGGCGCGGAGGUGCUGCAUCCAGCGAUGUAA
RNAcentral lists this ribosomal RNA (375 nucleotides) under Triticum aestivum (bread wheat). Its description in RNAcentral is "partial small subunit ribosomal RNA". The record is from RNAcentral. Lineage: Eukaryota; Viridiplantae; Streptophyta; Magnoliopsida; Poales; Poaceae.